GACGAACGCUGGCGGCGUGCUUAACACAUGCAAGUCGAACGGAAAGGCCCUGCUUUUGUGGGGUUCUCGAGUGGCGAACGGGUGAGUAACACGUGAGUAACCUGCCCUUGACUUUGGGAUAACUUCAGGAAACUGGGGCUAAUACCGGAUAGGAGCUCCUGCUGCAUGGUGGGGGUUGGAAAGUUUCGGCGGUUGGGGAUGGACUCGCGGCUUAUCAGCUUGUUGGUGGGGUAGUGGCUUACCAAGGUUUUGACGGGUAGCCGGCCUGAGAGGGUGACCGGCCACAUGAGGACUGAGAGACGGACCAGACUCCUACGGGAGGCAGCAGUGGGGAAUAUUGCACAGUGGGCGGAAGUGUGAGGCAGCAACGCCGCGUGCGGGAUGCCGGCCUUCGGGUUGUAAACAGCUUUCGCCUGUGACGAAGCGUGAGUGACGGUAAUGGGUAAAGAAGCACCGGCUAACUACGUG
Molecule: ribosomal RNA, 468 nt
Filed under: uncultured bacterium
Lineage: Bacteria
Description: partial 16S ribosomal RNA
Rfam family: Bacterial small subunit ribosomal RNA
Source: RNAcentral